GAUGAACGCUGGCGGCGUGCCUAAUACAUGCAAGUCGAGCGAACAGAUGAGGAGCUUGCUCCUCUGACGUUAGCGGCGGACGGGUGAGUAACACGUGUAUAACCUACCUAUAAGACUGGGAUAACUUCGGGAAACCGGAGCUAAUACCGGAUAAUAUAUUGAACCGCAUGGUUCAAUAGUGAAAGACGGUUUUGCUGUCACUUAUAGAUGGAUCCGCGCCGCAUUAGCUAGUUGGUAAGGUAACGGCUUACCAAGGCAACGAUGCGUAGCCGACCUGAGAGGGUGAUCGGCCACACUGGAACUGAGACACGGUCCAGACUCCUACGGGAGGCAGCAGUAGGGAAUCUGCCGCAAUGGGCGAAAGCCUGACGGAGCAACGCCGCGUGAGUGAUGAAGGUCUUCGGAUCGUAAAACUCUGUUAUUAGGGAAGAACAAAUGUGUAAGUAACUAUGCACGUCUUGACGGUACCUAAUCAGAAAGCCACGGCUAACUACGUG
RNAcentral lists this ribosomal RNA (497 nucleotides) under uncultured bacterium. RNAcentral's name for it is "partial 16S ribosomal RNA". It matches the Rfam family "Bacterial small subunit ribosomal RNA", at positions 28 to 507 of the family's 1533-position model. The record is from RNAcentral.